RNAcentral lists this transfer RNA (90 nucleotides) under Bacteroidota bacterium. RNAcentral's name for it is "Bacteroidetes bacterium (marine metagenome) tRNA-Ser". It matches the Rfam family "tRNA". Rfam says of the family: Transfer RNA (tRNA) molecules are approximately 80 nucleotides in length. Lineage: Bacteria; Pseudomonadati; Bacteroidota. The record is from RNAcentral. RNAcentral also lists the same sequence under 1 other name.
GGAGAGGUGCCGGAGUGGUUGAACGGGGCGGUCUCGAAAAUCGUUGUGGAGGCAACUUCACCGUGGGUUCGAAUCCUACCCUCUCCGCCA